Molecule: ribosomal RNA, 770 nt
Filed under: uncultured bacterium
Lineage: Bacteria
Description: bacterial SSU rRNA
Rfam family: Bacterial small subunit ribosomal RNA
Source: RNAcentral
AGAGUUUGAUCAUGGCUCAGGACGAACGCUGGCGGCGUGCUUAACACAUGCAAGUCGAACGAUGAGGCCCUUCGGGGCGGAUUAGUGGCGAACGGGUGAGUAACACGUGGGCAACCUGCCCUCCACUCUGGGAUAACUCCGGGAAACCGGGGCUAAUACUGGAUACGACCCUCCCUCGCAUGGGGGUGGGUGGAAAGUUUUUCGGUGGAGGAUGGGCCCGCGGCCUAUCAGCUUGUUGGUGGGGUGAUGGCCUACCAAGGCGGUGACGGGUAGCCGGCCUGAGAGGGCGACCGGCCACACUGGGACUGAGACACGGCCCAGACUCCUGCGGGAGGCAGCAGUGGGGAAUAUUGCACAAUGGGCGAAAGCCUGAUGCAGCGACGCCGCGUGAGGGAUGACGGCCUUCGGGUUGUAAACCUCUUUCAGCAGGGACCAAGCGUGAGUGAGUGUACCUGCAGAAGAAGCACCGGCUAACUACGUGCCAGCAGCCGCGGUAAUACGUAGGGUGCGAGCGUUGUCCGGAUUUAUUGGGCGUAAAGGGCUCGUAGGCGGCCUGUCGCGUCGGAAGUGAAAGCCCACUGCUUAACGGUGGGUCUGCUUCCGGUACGGGCAGGCUGGAGUAUGGCAGGGGAGACUGGAAUUCCUGGUGUAGCGGUGGAAUGCGCAGAUAUCAGGAGGAACACCGGUGGCGAAGGCGGGUCUCUGGGCCAUUACUGACGCUGAGGAGCGAAAGCGUGGGGAGCGAACAGGAUUAGAUACCCUAGUAGUCC